Molecule: ribosomal RNA, 815 nt
Filed under: uncultured bacterium
Lineage: Bacteria
Description: bacterial SSU rRNA
Rfam family: Bacterial small subunit ribosomal RNA
Source: RNAcentral
AGAGUUUGAUCCUGGCUCAGGAUGAACGCUGGCGGCGUGCUUAACACAUGCAAGUCGAACGAAGCACUUUAUUUGACUUCCUUCGGGACUGAUUAUUUUGUGACUGAGUGGCGGACGGGUGAGUAACGCGUGGGUAACCUGCCUUGUACAGGGGGAUAACAGUUGGAAACGGCUGCUAAUACCGCAUAAGCGCACGGCAUCGCAUGAUGCAGUGUGAAAAACUCCGGUGGUAUAAGAUGGACCCGCGUUGGAUUAGCUAGUUGGUGAGGUAAUGGCCCACCAAGGCGACGAUCCAUAGCCGACCUGAGAGGGUGACCGGCCACAUUGGGACUGAGACACGGCCCAAACUCCUACGGGAGGCAGCAGUGGGGAAUAUUGCACAAUGGGCGAAAGCCUGAUGCAGCGACGCCGCGUGAGCGAAGAAGUAUUUCGGUAUGUAAAGCUCUAUCAGCAGGGAAGAUAAUGACGGUACCUGACUAAGAAGCACCGGCUAAAUACGUGCCAGCAGCCGCGGUAAUACGUAUGGUGCAAGCGUUAUCCGGAUUUACUGGGUGUAAAGGGAGCGCAGGCGGUGCGGCAAGUCUGAUGUGAAAGCCCGGGGCUCAACCCCGGUACUGCAUUGGAAACUGUCGUACUAGAGUGUCGGAGGGGUAAGCGGAAUUCCUAGUGUAGCGGUGAAAUGCGUAGAUAUUAGGAGGAACACCAGUGGCGAAGGCGGCUUACUGGACGGUAACUGACGUUGAGGCUCGAAAGCGUGGGGAGCAAACAGGAUUAGAUACCCUGGUAGUCCACGCCGUAAACGAUGACUACUAGGU